UACGUAGGGCGCAAGCGUUGUCCGGAAUUAUUGGGCGUAAAGAGCUCGUAGGCGGUUUGUCGCGUCUGCUGUGAAAACCUAAGGCUCAACCUUGGGCUUGCAGUGGGUACGGGCAGACUAGAGUGCGGUAGGGGUGACUGGAAUUCCUGGUGUAGCGGUGGAAUGCGCAGAUAUCAGGAGGAACACCGAUGGCGAAGGCAGGUCACUUGG
RNAcentral lists this ribosomal RNA (210 nucleotides) under uncultured bacterium. RNAcentral's name for it is "partial 16S ribosomal RNA". It matches the Rfam family "Bacterial small subunit ribosomal RNA", at positions 524 to 733 of the family's 1533-position model. The record is from RNAcentral.